CUCAGUCAAAAGUUCAGUUCACCCUCGAUCUUAAUAAAUAGACGUAGAGAGGUAGGUGCAGGGCUACCAUUGCGAUUUCCAGUACGCCGGGUUCCUUCUCGGUGCUACCUAGCUUGGUUUUGCCCUCUCUCAAAGACACCUCGAUUCAGAAAGAAUGUUGCCUAACGCUCGCUAUCUGGUACGCUUGCUUACUAUCCUGUUCGUGAUCUGCUUCUGCUUGCUUUCAUGUUCGUCUCCCGCAAGCGGCAGAAGCAAUCCAUCCUGUACCACACCUUGUAAGUAUAAGGUUUUGAGCUUGUAGUAAGUCUCUGCAUAGGUGUCUAGUAAGUAGUAACUCAUUAGCAGUAGUAGAUGAUUAUCUUGGCAUUCUGCUCUUCUCUCGUGAGUUUUUAUUUGUUCAUUGCCUGAUAUUUUUGCAAAUUGUGACACUCGACCCGAGUGCCCCCCCAGGGUCACACCCUCCGAACUGCCCGACGUACUGCAGAUAGGAUUACCAAGGGCACUGGCUCUACACAGUUAAUGGAGCGUCACCAUAUGCGGAGUCCUCUAACGCAGCAUGAAGUCCUCUAUGUACCUAUAUAUGUAGUGUGUUUAUCACCCUAUACAGCAACUAUUUAGUUUCUACAAUUGUAAUCUUUUUUAUCGAGUUUAUAACACGACUUUUUAAAGGGAUUAUUAUUUUAUAUAGGCAGUGCCAUGUACCAGCAAAUAAAGCCGAACUUUGCUCUGAAAGACUCAGCUUCCUUCGGAUAUCAAAUUCUGCACUCGAGCUCGUGUGAUCUUCAUGAACAGUAAAAUACAAAAAUAUUAGAAAAAAUCAGAAAGUCUCAAUAUUUUGCAUGGGAGAGUUUGAGUGCAUGAGAUCCGCGCCAAUUUCAGCACGUUCGGACAUCUGAGUAGCUCUAAAAGAAAAACCGGGUCCGAACAAUGCAUCGACAGUAAAAUUCUUCACAUCCCCAUUUUUUUCGGUAGCUACUCAGAUGUCUAAACAUGUUGAAAACUGG
This 1004-nucleotide long non-coding RNA is filed under the name Hordeum vulgare. Its description in RNAcentral is "long non-coding RNA (HVUL_LNC006079)". Lineage: Eukaryota; Viridiplantae; Streptophyta; Magnoliopsida; Poales; Poaceae. The record is from RNAcentral.